UUGAAAGGGAAACGAUUGAAGUCAGUCGUGCUGGCGCGAAAUCAACCUUCUCGUCUCGAGAUCACAUGGCGUGGCGAGCCUCAAAACCGUCACGAAGCGUGAACUCUUGGUGAAAUGGAGCACUUUCGUGUCCGCUGGUUAACAUCAAUUUCGAACGUCAUAAAAAGGCUGGAGGGAUGUGGCUCCUUCGGGAGUGUUAUAACCUUUAGCGGAAUGUGGUGGUCGGGAUUGAGGAUUGCAACGAAUACCUUUAGGGCUGUUCCACCUGGCUUCUCAUUGGUAUCCUGGUGACGACAGCUUGCUGACGUUGUUAGGAUUCGCCUUUGAACAGGCUAGAGUGUGAGCAAAUCGUUAAGGAUGUUGACGUA
This 368-nucleotide ribosomal RNA is filed under the name uncultured Glomeromycotina. RNAcentral describes it as "LSU rRNA". Lineage: Eukaryota; Fungi; Glomeromycota. The record is from RNAcentral.